GCUGGCGGCGCGCCCAACACAUGCAAGUCGAACGAGAAAGUGGAGCAAUCCAUGAGUACAGUGGCGUACGGGUGAGUAACACGUGGGUGAUCUACCUCUUAGUGAGGAAUAACCCUGGGAAACCGGGGCUAAUACCGCAUAAGCCUGAGAAGGGAAAGCAGCAAUGCGCUGAGAGAGGAGCCCGCGGCCGAUUAGCUAGUUGGUGAGGUAAAAGCCCACCAAGGCAGAGAUCGGUAGCCGGCCUGAGAGGGCACACGGCCACACUGGCACUGAAACACGGGCCAGACUCCUACGGGAGGCAGCAGUGGGGAAUCUUGCACAAUGGGGGAAACCCUGAUGCAGCGACGCCGCGUGAGCGAUGAAGCCCUUCGGGGUGUAAAGCUCUUUCGUCAGGGAAGAUCAUGACGGUACCUGGAGAAGCAGCUGCGGCUAACUACGUGCCAGCAGCCGCGGUAAUACGUAGGCAGCAAGCGUUGUUCGGAGUUACUGGGCGUAAAGGGUGUGUAGGCGGUUCUUUAAGUUUGGUG
RNAcentral lists this ribosomal RNA (527 nucleotides) under uncultured soil bacterium. RNAcentral describes it as "bacterial SSU rRNA". It matches the Rfam family "Bacterial small subunit ribosomal RNA", at positions 35 to 594 of the family's 1533-position model. The record is from RNAcentral.